This 492-nucleotide ribosomal RNA is filed under the name uncultured bacterium. Its description in RNAcentral is "partial 16S ribosomal RNA". It matches the Rfam family "Bacterial small subunit ribosomal RNA", at positions 29 to 507 of the family's 1533-position model. The record is from RNAcentral.
AGUGAACGCUGGCGGUAGGCCUAACACAUGCAAGUCGAACGGCAGCACAGUAAGAGCUUGCUCUUACGGGUGGCGAGUGGCGGACGGGUGAGGAAUACAUCGGAAUCUACUUUUUCGUGGGGGAUAACGUAGGGAAACUUACGCUAAUACCGCAUACGACCUACGGGUGAAAGCAGGGGAUCUUCGGACCUUGCGCGAUUGAAUGAGCCGAUGUCGGAUUAGCUAGUUGGCGGGGUAAAGGCCCACCAAGGCGACGAUCCGUAGCUGGUCUGAGAGGAGGGUCAGCCACACUGGAACUGGAACACGGUCCAGACUCCUACGGGGGGCAGCAGUGGGGAAUAUUGGACAAUGGGCGCAAGCCUGAUCCAGCCAUACCGCGUGGGUGAAGAAGGCCUUCGGGUUGUAAAGCCCUUUUGUUGGGAAAGAAAAGCAGCAGGUUAAUACCCCGCUGUUCUGACGGUACCCAAAGAAUAAGCACCGGCUAACUUCGUG